UACGUAGGGGGCUAGCGUUGUCCGGAAUUAUUGGGCGUAAAGAGCUUGUAGGCGGUUCAGUAAGUCGGGUGUGAAAACUCAGGGCUCAACCCUGAGCUGCCACCCGAUACUGCUGUGACUUGAGUCCGGUAGGGGAGUGGGGAAUUCCUGGUGUAGCGGUGAAAUGCGCAGAUAUCAGGAGGAACACCGGUGGCGAAGGCGCCACUCUGGGCCGAGACUGACGCUGAGGAGCGAAAGCAUGGGUAGCAAACAGG
RNAcentral lists this ribosomal RNA (254 nucleotides) under uncultured bacterium. RNAcentral's name for it is "partial 16S ribosomal RNA". It matches the Rfam family "Bacterial small subunit ribosomal RNA", at positions 524 to 776 of the family's 1533-position model. The record is from RNAcentral.